GCGACGAUGCGUAGGGGUUCUGAGAGGAAGGUCCCCCACACUGGUACUGAGACACGGACCAGACUCCUACGGGAGGCAGCAGUGAGGAAUAUUGGUCAAUGGGAGAGAUCCUGAACCAGCCAAGCCGCGUGAGGGAAGACGGCCCUAUGGGUUGUAAACCUCUUUUGUCGGAGAACAAAACCCGGGACGUGUCCCGGACUGCGUGUAUCCGAAGAAAAAGCAUCGGCUAACUCCGUGCCAGCAGCCGCGGUAAUACGGAGGAUGCGAGCGUUAUCCGGAUUUAUUGGGUUUAAAGGGUGCGUAGGCGGUCUGUUAAGUCAGCGGUAAAAUUGCGGGGCUCAACCCCGUCGAGCCGUUGAAACUGGCAGACUUGAGUUGGCGAGAAGUACGCGGAAUGCGCGGUGUAGCGGUGAAAUGCAUAGAUAUCGCGCAGAACUCCGAUUGCGAAGGCAGCGUACCGGCGCCAGACUGACGCUGAGGCACGAAAGCGUGGGGAUCGAACAGGAUUAGAUACCCUGGUAGUCCACGCAGUAAACGAUGAAUGCUGGUUGUCCGGGUCGAAUGAGACC
RNAcentral lists this ribosomal RNA (569 nucleotides) under uncultured bacterium. RNAcentral describes it as "bacterial SSU rRNA". It matches the Rfam family "Bacterial small subunit ribosomal RNA", at positions 273 to 839 of the family's 1533-position model. The record is from RNAcentral.